This 5453-nucleotide long non-coding RNA is filed under the name Sus scrofa (pig). RNAcentral describes it as "lncRNA (ENSSSCG00035017353.1)". Lineage: Eukaryota; Metazoa; Chordata; Mammalia; Artiodactyla; Suidae. The record is from RNAcentral.
GAGAUGAAAUCACUUUAUUACUGAGAAGCUCAUUGAGCUCAUAGGUUUGGAUUGCUGCCCAAAAGAACUUUCUAACACUCUGCUCCUUAGUUAAUCUGAUUUACAACCUCAGUUAAUCUGAUUCACUAGCAUGGCUGGGCUCUUUAGACUUUGCCCUCCUUUGCAGACUGCACAAGGUAGGAGGGCAGACUGGAACACAGACAACCUGAUCAGAGAAAAUGAAGGAAAUUGGGAGAGCUGAAGCAUGCUCACAUACCAGAUCCUUUCCCCAGCUCCCCAGGUGAAUAACUCUGUCCAAGGCCAUGGUUCAUGGUUUGGUGACCUGAGUUUCUGCUAAGUUUGAGCCCCCACUCACCACUAUAUACCUACAUAAAUGUAUAUUCCGCAGACCUGAUCACUUCCCCUACGCUGGGGAGAAAUGAAUGAGGAGGUGGAGGGUGCUAGAGUCCUUCUCAUGCUUGCUCAUUCUGAGAGAUUCACAAUUGCUCUAACUCCUGGAUCCAGCUACGUAUAAAGCCACUUGCACUCGUGAAUUUCUCAAUUGUGAUCAAAUCAAUUCUCUUUCCUUGUUUAAGCAAGUUUGAUGUAGGUUUUUAUUACAAACCUGAAGUUUUGAUGACUAUGUUAGCUAAUUUUCUUAUGUUUAAUAAAAUCAAUUUCAAGAAACACAUAUUAGGUGACUACAGGGAAAUACUAUCUUUUCUAGUGCCAUAAAUGGGCGCCGUCCUUUGAGGAUGCAUUAGAGUUAUUAUUGGAUUUGGAUAUGAUUGACCUUUUGGAAUCUAUAACAUGGUCUUAUCGACAGGCUUUCCAACUUCUCAUCACAGGCUUUUCCAAGUUCUGCUUCACCUUCUCCCUUCUGGGGCAGGAAGUUUCAGAAUUACUGGCCCUAGCACACUGCACCAUUAUUUGGAGUUCCUCUCCCUGCCCACACCUUUUGUAAACAGCCCUUUGAUUAAGCCUCCUUGAGUUAUUCUUUGACUGUAACACCUUUUCCCAUUGGUCUCCUGACUGAGAGCAGAUCAGUCAUUAUGUUAAAUUGACAUAGGCAUACCUUCACUGUCACUAAAAUGUUCUCAACAGAGCUGACACAGUCACUUUUAAAUAUAGCUACUAUACAAAGUCAAAACUUUUGACUAUUUUACCCAAAAGAAACUUUUCACCCACUCCCCCCUGGUCCCUGCCCUGCAAACAAGUACAAAGUUUUGCUAUCUAUUGCCAAUUUUUUGAAAGAAAUAUCUCCCUCCUUUUCCCCGAUUAGAUUAUCAAGAAGAAUAAAACAUACAAACAUCCAGAUAGGAAAAAGUCUUUGCUCAUCUCAGAAUUCUCCAAGUGGUGAGAAAACAUUUAAAAUUUUACUUAGUUAAUUUAAACUCUAAAUAUUGUUUUAAAGUAUCACAUUAAAAAGGAGCUAAAGAAUAAAGCAUUUGUUUGUUUUUGCAGGCGAGGGUUAAUGUGCUGUGGCUUUUUAUGUACUAUUCGCAGAUGAAUGUAUUAUUUCUACCUUUUUCCAUCUUUUUUUAUUCAACCAAAAAAGAAUCUAAAAUGUUAUUUCCAAUUUUCAUUUUAUUCUCAUUUCCUGUCUACUAACUUCGCUUGCUAUUAAAAGAGCACUAUACAUAAUUAAAGUUACCGUUUAGAGGGGCAUUUUAAGUGAUACUGAAGUGCUGCUGAGUUUCUUUCAGCUACAUACUAUAAACAAGUCAAUAACUUUCACCACGAUUCAAAGUAACCAAUGAGAAAAUACAAUGGAAAAAAGACACAUCCCAAGCACAACAGGGUGAAAGGGCAUAAAAAAUUUAUGAGUAUCCUUAACAAGAAAUGCGCAUGACCUAUGUGAACAUAAUUAUAUAACUUUAUUGAAUGUAUACAGAAGAUGAAUAAUAAUAAUAAAAGUUAGCUUUUCUGUGUACUUCAUGCAAGGCCCUCUGUUCUGUGCUUUCCCUCUGUCACCUCCUCAUCUGUGAAGCUGAGAAGCACUGCAGCAGCCAGCAUACUCUUGAGCCUGACUCAGCUUCCUUAACUUCUCUGUGCUCUGAUUUUCCACCUAUAAAACCAGGAGGGCAACCUCAUGACAUAGGCACCAUUAUUGUCUUUUGUCUUUUUGUCUUUUGUUGUUGUUGUUGCUGUUGUUGCUAUUUCUUGGGCCGCUCUCGCGGCAUAUGGAGGUUCCCAGGCUAGGGGCUGAAUCAGAGCUGUAGCCACCGGCCUACGCCAGAGCCACAGCAACGCGGGAUCCGAGCCGCGUCUGCAACCUACACCACAGCUCACGGCAACGCCGGAUCGUUAACCCACCGAGCAAGGGCAGGGACCGAACCCGCAACCUCAUGGUUCCUAGUCGGAUUCGUUAACCACUGCGCCACGACGGGAACUCCCAUAGGCACCAUUAUUAUUAUCAUGCUACAGAGGAAGAAACUGAUAUCAAGGAGGCUAAGGGCUUGCCUAAUAUCAUCCAGCAAGUAGGUGACCAGGAUUCCUACGCUGGCCUGUCCAACUGAAGAGCUAGGCCUCUGUAUUUAUUACAUGCUUGUGUUUCUAGAUGAGAGGGCUAUAACAUUCAUUUUGACACUUUGUAACUCUAGAGUUCAUCUGGUAGAAUUAACAGGUAAAGUAUUUUUACAAUAGAGAAAUAACAGAUUAGUCAUAGAUGAUUGCAUCAAAAUUUUAAAUAUUUCUAUGUUAAAAUGGAAGAUAAUUAGGGUGGUGGAAUGUUCUCUAUCUUCAUUGUAACAGUAGUUACACAACUGUAAUCCUAGCCAAAACUCUGAACGUUUACAUUUACAAGGGGUGAAUUUUAUGUGUGAAAAUUAUUCUGUAAUAAAACUUGGGGAAAAAGAAGAUAAUGAUAACUAAAAAGGGAAGCAAUCAAGUAGGAGUAAAUUUACCCACAUAUAACAAAGAGUUAAUAAGUUUGUUAUAGGAUCAACCAAAGCUACUCAAUCAUACAGCCUGCAAUCCAGCAAUUCCAGUCCCAUGUAUAAAUCAAGGAGUAAGUGCUUAUAUCUGCCAAAAGACAGGUAAAGAAUGUUCAUAGUAGCCUUAUUCAUAAUAGCUCCAAACUGCAAACUACCCAAAUUUCCAUCAAUAACAGGAUGAGUAAAUAAAUUGUGGUAUAUCCAUACAGUGGAAAAUAACUCAGCAAUGAAAAAAAGAAUAAAUGAUAUGUGCAGCAUGGAUGAAUCUCCUAAACAUAAUGUUGAAUAAAAGAAGUCUGACAUAAGAGUUUAUACAGGCUUUCUGUCUAUAAGAAGUACUAUAUAGACUAAACUUAUCUGUGAUGAUGGAGAAUAGAAUACAGGCUAUUUGGGGAAUUCCUGUUGAGGCACAAUAUAAAUGAAUCUGACCAGUAUCCAUGAGGAUUUGGGUUUGAUCCCUGGCCUCACUCAGUGGGUCAGGGAUCUGGCAUUGCCAUAAGCUGUGAUGCAGGGUGCAGACGUGGUUUGGAUCCCGCAUUGCUAUGGCUGUGGCAUAGACUGACAGCUGUAGUUCUGAUUUGACCCUUAGCCUGGGAACUUCCAUUAUGCUGUGGGUGUGGCCCUAAAAAGCACAAAAGUAGAAUUAAAAAAAAAAGAAUAUGGGCUAUUUGGGAUUGGUGACUGCUGACUGGGAGGAGAUAUGGAGGAAACUUCUGGGUGCUAAAAAUGUUCUAUAUCCUUUGCACCUAAAUAGUCAUAGCUGCACUAUUUAUAAUAGCCAAGAUAUGGAAGCAACUUAAGUUUCUAUCAAUAGAAAAAAAAUAACAAAAAUGUGGUGUGUGUAUAUAUAUAGAUAUAGGUAUAAAUAUAUAUAUAUAAUGGAAUACUACUCAGACAUAAAAAAGAAUGAAAUUUUGCAUUUGAAACAAUAUGGAUGGACAUGGAGGGUAUUAUGCUUGGUGAAAAAAAGUCAGAGAAAUGCAAAUACUAAAUGUUAUCACUUAUUUGUGGAAUCUAAAAAAUACAACAAACUAGUGACUAUAACAGAAAAAGAAACAGACUCACAGAUAUAGAGAACAAACUACUGGUUAUUGGAAGGAAAAGGGAAGAGGGGGAGGGUCAAGAUAGGAGUAGAGGAUUAAGAAGUACAAACUACUAUGCAUAAAGCCAAUAAGCUACAAUGAUGUAGAACACCAGGAAUAUAGCCAAUAUUUUAUAGUAACUAUGAAUGGAGUAUAACCUUUAAAAACUACAAAUUACUGUGUUGUACAUCUGAAAAUUAAAUAUCAUAAAUCAACUAUACCUAAAUAAAAAAAUGUUCUAAAUGUUCUAUGUCUUGAUCUGGGCAGAGGUUACAUCGGUGUGUACAUAUGCAAAAAUCUGUUGAACUAUACACUAAGAUAUGUUUACUUUCCUGUAUGUAAAAUACACCUCAAAAAAAUCGAAUCUGAAUUAACAAAUGGACAAAGGACUUGAGUUUGCAAAAGAAGAAAUCAACCUGACUUACCUCUUAUGGACACAUAGAUGCACACACCAUCUCAGUAAUCAGACAAAUGCAAAUUAAAUGUUAUUUUUAAGUUAAAUACCUAUAAUUGAGCAAGAUAGGAAGUUAUAAGGUGGAUGCUGAGAUGAAGGUUUACAUGUAAAUGAUUAUCAAGUUUUUAAAUGAGAAACCAGUAAGGAAGGAAAGGUAGUAGAAUAGGGGAGGGGAGCUCUGGAGUGUAAAUGACACCUCAUAGUUUAUUCUAUCCCAAGGCAAGUGAUCUGGGCUUGUGUACUCCUCUACUACUCAGAAGUUAGCUGUCUACUGCCCUGGGUGAGGGGGUGGGUGGCGGGGGAUGCCAGCUCCCCCCAUCCUACUUCAUUUCUGGUUCUCAGUGCAACCUGCCUAAGGGGCUCUGAUAGCUCAAGAGUAGUUCUCUGAAGAAGGUUUCUGGGAGUUAUGUUAGAGCUAAGUGUUCAAAAGCUGGAGGGAUGGGCAGAUAAAAUAAAACAUAAAAGGGACCCAAGGAAUUCAGGUGGAGUGUUGAUAGUAUCUGCAAUAGGUAUCUUGAUGCCAGGGUAGGGGGUUAGUAACCUGAUGUAUCACCUUGCAUGAGACUGAAAUGACCAAUUAUGACCAACUGAGCAAGUAGAUAAAUAUAGCCAAGAAUAAAUAAAUGGUCUUUCCUCAAACUGCUCUAUCUUUCCAAUAACCUUCACAUACUUUUUAUAUAAAAUAGAUGCUUUGUUGCUAACAUUAGCCAAAGGGAAAUAUUGGAAAUUUAUAGGCAAAGAGGUGAGGAGUUGAUUUUCUCAGAAAACUUUCAGAUCCUAUUCAAAUUCUAGAAUUUGAGGAGUCAUGUAUGUGCCACUGGGGGUGUGUGUUUGUUUUCUCUAGCAGGUCUAUUUGGUCAACCUCCAUUCGUUUUUUUUUUUUUUUUUUUUUUUUUUGGUCUUUUUGUUUUUUCUAGGGCCGCUCCCGCAGCAUAUGGAGGUUCCCAGGCUAGGGGUCGAUUCGGAGCUGUAACCACUGGCCUACACCAGAGCCACAGCAAC